Molecule: unclassified non-coding RNA, 192 nt
Filed under: uncultured Glomerales
Lineage: Eukaryota; Fungi; Glomeromycota; Glomeromycetes; Glomerales; Glomeraceae
Description: sequence contains ITS2
Source: RNAcentral
UUAAGUAAAAUCAAUGUGUCGCUUUUUGCAACACUUGGAAUUGGGUCGUCUUAACUUUAGGUUAAGAGGCCUGAAAUUGAUACUUUUUCGCAUCCUAGACGUGUAUAAAUUCAUUUAUCCGUUUUCGGUGAUGAUUUCUUUAUUAGGUAUGGUCGCGUAGUGUGAGGCUUCAUGCCUAUAAUUUUUCGUUGA